Molecule: transfer RNA, 134 nt
Organism: Exophiala sideris
Lineage: Eukaryota; Fungi; Ascomycota; Eurotiomycetes; Chaetothyriales; Herpotrichiellaceae
Rfam family: tRNA
About the family: Transfer RNA (tRNA) molecules are approximately 80 nucleotides in length.
Source: Rfam
GGCGGUGUAGUGCAGAGGUUAGCAUCUCCUUUUCCCAAUCACUAGGCAGGGCCUCCAAUCCAACCGGGUUGGCGGUCUGUGAGUCCGAAUGUUGGAUCGAGAGGAGGACAUUGGUUCGAAUCCGAUCACCGCCA